CGCGCGGGAACUAAAUUUGGGAUUCUGAGUAAGGAUUUCAGGAAAAAAAGAAAACGAGGAUAUGAUCGAGUGAGGAGUGAGGACUGAAGAAGAUAGAGGAUCUGAUCGAGUGAGGACUGAGGAGUGAGGAUCUGAUCGAUUUGUAGGAAAAGGAUUUCUUAUACGUAGCUGUUCUUUGCCCCAUCCAACAACAUCCGUCACCGCUGCUAGUCCCAGGCGACAAUCAACUAUGUGCGCUGCAGUGCUGCUAAACAUAUUCGCCCUAGUCCAUUUACUUCUUGAUCAUCUUAUUCUUCUUCUAAAUUGAGUAUGUAUUUGAUAUUAAUUCAAUUGGGUUGUUCUAGAUCUAAAUUUUGUCAUACACAAGACUUCGAACUCCAGAGUUGAGUAAAAUCUGAAAUUUUGGCAUUUUCCAGAUCUAAUAAGGGGAAGAGAAGGAUCGAUUGAAGAGGAAGGGUUUCUGAGGUCAUGAAUUGCCCAAGAUCACAAAUGGUCAGAUAUCAAUCUCACUGGAGUUGAGGAACCCAAGUAUAUUCCAGAUUUUCCUUGGUUGAUAUAGAGGAAUUCAGAUCCCACCUCUUCUUUUGUCAAACAACCUAUUGAAUCACAAUGGAUUUUGUAAUUCCAGAUUGAGAUUUUUUUUUUCAAGUUGUCAUUUGAUUUUCAUUUCUUUAAUGUGGUGGUGAAAGCUUUCAAAUCGACAUAUAAAAUGAAGAUGAUAUGUAAGCUAUAAACUAUUAGUUUGCAUGCAUAAUAUGUUGUUUGACAUGUCUACUGAUUAAAUUAAUUCUUUAUGGUCCAUUGAUGGACAGGUAUGCAUGGUGGUAAGUUAGAAAGCCUCAGUCAAGGAGCUUAUCUGUAAUCUCUUGUUUUGGGUAGCAAGUAGGUGGAGAAAGAAAGAGCCAAAGCAGCAGACCAGUAGUAACAUUAUCCACCUUUACAGACAUUUAUGAAGAAGGUUCCGUUUAACACAUCUUGGCUGAGCAGGAAGAGCAGGCAACGAAGUUGUCGGUUGAAGACAGCUGAAAUGCCAGAUUUCUACGCUGAUGAAGAAUAUGAUCUCAGCGGUUUUGCUGUCGGCAUUGUAAAGAAGGAUUCAGUGAUUGAUGGGAAAAGCAUUGUGGAGGGAGAUGUUCUCAUUGGACUUCCAUCUAGUUGAGUCCAUUCUAAAGGAUUCUCUCUAGUCGGAGAAGGGAUCUUGCUCAUGGUGGCCUUUCUUUGAAGGACCAACUUCCUGGUGAAUGUAUCACUUUGGGUGAAGCUCUGAUGCCACCAACUAUUAUCUAUGUUAAACAGGUACUUGACAUCAUCAGCAAGGGUGGUGUGAAGGGAAUAGCCCACAUCACAAGUGGUGGCUUUACAGAUAACAUACCUCGAGUUUUUCCAAAAGGUCUUGGAGCAGCAAUUUACAAAGAUUCUUGGGAAGUCUUCCAGUGUUCAGAUGAAUCCAAAAGGCUGGAGGAAUAGAAGAUGCUGAGAUGUGGAGAACCUUCAAUGAGGGUAUUGGGAUGGUUCUUGUCAUUAGUCCAGAGACUUCAGUUAGAAUUCUUGCAGAGAGAAGGAAUUCUGCAUAUUGUAUUGGUGAGGUCGUAAGUGGCGAAGGUCACUAUUGGGCUUCGAGUUCUUACAUGACCUGUUCCAGAUCGGUCACCUGAAAUCUACAUAACUCUUGGGGUGGACUAUAAUCAUACAGUCCUGUCUUCCAUAAUCGAUGAAACCUUGAAAGAUGUGGUGGCACAGUACAAUGCCAGACAGCUUAUCACUCAGAGAGGGGGCUGGACAACCUAAGCAAACAGAGGCAGGAAGUGGAGCUCAAGGAAUUGGAGAUUCUUGAGGAGCUUUGAGAUGGGGAAGAGAAGUUUGCCGGUGACAAGCGUUCAGUUUCCAUUAUGGAUGAGAUUUCCCUACGGUAGAAAAGGAUGUUCAAAAUAAAGCCUUGAAAUAGAUGCCAAGUAUGAAACUUAUAACCACUGGAAGCAACGGGCCUUGCAACGAGAGAAACUGUAGGAGACAAGUAUCCAGAGGGAGCAGACACUCGUGAAAAAGUUACAGGAGAACAUAAAAAAUCUUGGAAGGCAAUACUCACCUGUGGAAUAAUUGUCUCAUAUUUCGAAAAGAGCUGAUAAUUUCUUGCAUUUUAUUCUCCAGACUGCGCCAGUUGCCAUUGGGCAUCAGGGUGAAGUCAAGAUGUCUCUGUGGGAGUAAAUGUCUUUAUUCUCCUUUGCUUUGGAGAUGUCUUCUAUAUAGAGCAAGUUCUUCUCCAAUCACUAUGGUUAUCUUUUCUAUAUACAUUAAUUUAGCAGAACAUAUAUAUUGGAAGCGUAGGUAAAAGCAACGAACCAAUAAGGAAGUUUGGAGGAAAGAGGUUGCUGCUAAGGAGAGCAUUGAUCAUGGAUUGGGCAUAUAGGGUCAUUUGGAUUGUAUGUCCAGAAAAAAUUCUCUAUAAUAUUAGUUUUAUUUGAUGAUUAUAUAAAUAUUAAAUUUGUAUGGAUUUGUCUCAUGUUAAUAAUUUUGGAUGACAUAAUUAUUAAGCGUUGUCUGGUUGGAUCUA
Long non-coding RNA from Macadamia integrifolia, 2551 nucleotides. RefSeq lists it as uncharacterized. The record is from RefSeq and is a predicted model, not a curated record. The transcript has 11 exons. NCBI's taxonomy places the organism in Eukaryota, Viridiplantae, Streptophyta, Magnoliopsida, Proteales, Proteaceae.